This is a long non-coding RNA of Papaver somniferum (opium poppy), 2462 nucleotides long. RefSeq lists it as uncharacterized. The record is from RefSeq and is a predicted model, not a curated record. The transcript has 5 exons. NCBI's taxonomy places the organism in Eukaryota, Viridiplantae, Streptophyta, Magnoliopsida, Ranunculales, Papaveraceae.
AAGUGCGACGGGUUUCAUCAUAACCUAAACUAAAUACAUCAUUCAGCCCUAAUCUGAAAUCUUUUACAAAAGUAUCUCUGAACCAAUUAGAAUCCUGAUUUGUAUUCCAGCCCAAAAUAUAUGAAUCUUCCAUCUUCCCCAAACCCAAAGUCACUGUUGUCGUUCUGUCGGGAUCGAUACAAGUACUGUUCUUGAAGCGAUGAAUGCACACAUCGAUUUGAACGUGAUCGACAGCACCUGACCUUAACCCGUUCACAUCCUGGUUUGCCCACCAAUUCUGCGAAAUACGUUGUUCAAAUUCAACGGAUGGAAAUCUAAUGCCUUGGUCCAAACCCUGCUCUGUCAACAUCUUUUCAACUCGAAGCGAUUCUGGUUUUAGAUCGGCUUAGGGUACUUCUUCUUCUUGGGGUACUUCUUCUUCUUCUUCUUGGGUUAAAAAGGGCGGUAAUGGAUCCAUACGAGUCGCAGGUAGAUAUUUCAGGAAUACAAAUAACAAAAAAGAAUUCAUAUUUUUGAAUUUCAAGAGGUAUUAGGGUUUCGGAAGAGGUUAAUGGAAGAGAUUAGGUUUCAAAAUUUUCCGAGAAAGAAAAUUCUGGUGCAGAAGAAAGUGGGUUUAGGAUUCUUUAAGUAACUGAAAGAUGGUUUAAUUGUUAACGAUGAAUACAGAAAGAGGUUUUCGUUUCAAGGAUUAAUCAAAGAGUUUGGGUCUACAAAUUCUUCCGAGAAAGAAAAAUUCUUCUGCAAAUCAGGGUUUUUGAAGUUGGGAACUGAACGAUGGGUUUAUUGAUAACAAUGAAUAGAACUGAAAUUGAAAUUGAUAUUAAAAACAAAGAUCAUGAUGAAACAGAGGUUUGGGUAAUAUAAUCAGAACUCAUGAAAAAAAGGGUUUUGGUAACAGAAGCAGAGCUCCUGGAGAAAGAAUGUUUAGGAAGAAAACGAAUUCAAAUUUUUAUACGUUGUGACGGAAUUAAUUGAGCGGAGAGAAGAAAUAGAAUGUAGCCGUUAUAUCUAUGCUUUGUUUCAACUUUCAAUUAAUGCGCGUUCUUUGCGGUUAGUGCCUUAGGACAUGUGCUUUCAGGAAUUAAAAGCUGUUGCUUGAUAUUAGGCGUGAUUGUGACAGCCUUGCCGCUGUGGGUUUUUCCUAAUUAUCAUCAUCCUUGUGGAAUGGUACUUCUAAACAAGACAGAAAAUAUUGAAGAGGAGAUUCCCUACAAGUAAAGGGUAGCUUAUAGAGUUGAUGAAUUCUUUUCUGCAUACCCAUGUGCAAACUGAUUGUGCUUCUUAUUGGAUGUGGUGUGUUGGGAUUAUGUGCAGUCGACGAGAGCCUUGCGGAGGCACUUCGGCUCGACUUUCAUUGCGGAUGCGGGAAAUCAUGAGGAUAGGGUUGCAAUGAUGCUCGGCCUUGUUUUGGAUGCAAUGUCUGGGAAGAUGGAUUCAUUAAGGAAGGGAAAGAGUGAAGUCAUGGAUUGGAGAGCAGUCAUAUACUAAUCCUUGGAUGGAGUGACAAAUUGAUAUGGAAGGACAUUUUAGGAUUUGAAAAUGCAGAGUCUUACAUCAAAAGGUGUCCACAGUUGUACCCUUUAUGCUUCGAAGAUGUGCUAAUUUCAUUUCCAGAUGCAGUAACUUGUGGAAUUUUAGGUUGCUGCAAAUGGCGGGAGGAUUGUUCUUUAUCUGGAUGAAGAUUAUGUUCAAGCUGAGGAUGAUGAUACGUGUAGCCCGGAUCCCAUACCAGAGAUGCUGCAGGUACGCAGCAGAUAUUUCCCAAGUGUUUUUAUCCAUCUAAAAUAUCCAGAGAAGUUACUGUUCAGUGGUUGGCAUCGUGACAUCAAGAUCGUGGUGAGACAUUGUUGGCUCAAGGUUCAGAAUUAGUGAGGUUUCAGUUGAAGAAAGAGAGAGGAAACACACUGAUUCUGGACUAGCGAACCUAAGUCUUGUCCUAGGGCCUGCAGGUACUGCCAAUAUUUUGAGAGGACAUAGUGGAAUUUGAGAGUUCAGGCAAUGGGCUUGGGUAUUGCAAGUAACUAUAUUGCAGAGACCUUGGUAGAGUGGUGGCAGGAUUAGAAUUUGGCAAUUGACUGGUAUGUUUUCUGAAGUAAGGUGGUUUCGGCUUCACAAAAUAAUGUUGGCUUGUUGCAGCUAAAUGGAGUAGACUUAAAAGCAACUCCAUUCUGUGGUUGUUGGCUUGUUGCAGCUAAAUGCAGUAGACUUAAACAUUAUGAGGAAAUCAGUUAUGAACAUCCAGACAAGGAGGUUAGUUUUGCAGAGGAUAGACUGCCAGAGAGUCGCCUGCGAGAUUUGAGAAGCCUGACGUUGUAUACUGAGUAGAUGAGCAGGGAGUCGGCUACUGUAAAUUUGUAUAUUUGGUCACCUUUUUGUUAAUUUUGUGGAGUCCUAUGCUUCAGUUAUCAAUUCUUUGUAGCUAUUCUCUGAGGCUAAUUACAUCAUGAUACAUAUAAAAAAAA